CCUUUUCUCCUGGUGGCCCAGCAGCCGCGGUAAUUCUCCUUUACUUGGCGUAAAUUAAAGUUGUUGUGGUUAAAAAGCUCGUAGUUGAACCUUGGGCCUGGCUGGCCGGUCCGCCUCACCGCGUGCACUGGUCCGGCCGGGCCUUUCCCUCUGCGGAACCCCAUGCCCUUCACUGGGUGUGGCGGGGAAACAGGACUUUUACUUUGAAAAAAUUAGAGUGCUCAAGGCAGGCCUAUGCUCGAAUACAUUAGCAUGGAAUAAUAGAAUAGGACGUGUGGUUCUAUUUUGUUGGUUUCUAGGACCGCCGUAAUGAUUAAUAGGGACAGUCGGGGGCAUCAGUAUUCAAUUGUCAGAGGUGAAAUUCUUGGAUUUAUUGAAGACUAACUACUGCGAAAGCAUUUGCCAAGGAUGUUUUCAUUAAUCAGGAACGAAAGUUAGGGGAUCGAAGACGAUCAGAUACCGUCGUAGUCUUAACCAUAAACUAUGCCGACUAGGGAUCGGACGAUGUUACAUUUUUGACGCGUUCGGCACCUUACGAGAAAUCAAAGUGCUUGGGCUCCAGGGGGAGUAUGGUCGCAAGGCUGAAACUUAAAGAAAUUGACGGAAGGGCACCACCAGGGGUGGAGCCUGCGGCUUAAUUUGACUCAACACGGGGAAACUCACCAGGUCCAGACACAAUGAGGAUUGACAGAUUGAGAGCUCUUUCUUGAUUUUGUGGGUGGUGGUGCAUGGCCGUUCUUAGUUGGUGGAGUGAUUUGUCUGCUUAAUUGCGAUAACGAACGAGACCCUUAACCUGCUAAAUAGCCCGUAUUGCUUUGGCAGUACGCCGGCUUCUAGAGGGACAUCGCUCAAGCCCGAGGAAUACCAACCCAACUAACCCUCGGG
RNAcentral lists this ribosomal RNA (885 nucleotides) under Trichoderma koningii. RNAcentral describes it as "SSU rRNA". It matches the Rfam family "Eukaryotic small subunit ribosomal RNA", at positions 530 to 1435 of the family's 1831-position model. Lineage: Eukaryota; Fungi; Ascomycota; Sordariomycetes; Hypocreales; Hypocreaceae. The record is from RNAcentral.